This 908-nucleotide ribosomal RNA is filed under the name uncultured bacterium. Its description in RNAcentral is "bacterial SSU rRNA". It matches the Rfam family "Bacterial small subunit ribosomal RNA", at positions 62 to 1001 of the family's 1533-position model. The record is from RNAcentral.
UCGACGAUGAAUCUUCUAGCUUGCUAGAAGUGGAUUAGUGGCGCACGGGUGAGUAAUGCAUAGGUUAUGUGCCCUUUAGUCUGGGAUAGCCACUGGAAACGGUGAUUAAUACUGGAUACUCCCUACGGGGGAAAGUUUUUCGCUAAAGGAUCAGCCUAUGUCCUAUCAGCUUGUUGGUGAGGUAAUGGCUCACCAAGGCUAUGACGGGUAUCCGGCCUGAGAGGGUGAUCGGACACACUGGAACUGAGACACGGUCCAGACUCCUACGGGAGGCAGCAGUAGGGAAUAUUGCUCAAUGGGGGAAACCCUGAAGCAGCAACGCCGCGUGGAGGAUGAAGGUUUUAGGAUUGUAAACUCCUUUUGUUAGAGAAGAUUAUGACGGUAUCUAACGAAUAAGCACCGGCUAACUCCGUGCCAGCAGCCGCGGUAAUACGGAGGGUGCAAGCGUUACUCGAAAUCACUGGGCGUAAAGAGUGCGUAGGCGGGGUAAUAAGUCAGAUGUGAAAUCCUGUAGCUUAACUACAGAACUGCAUUUGAAACUGUUACUCUGGAGUGUGGGAGAGGUAGGUGGAAUUCUUGGUGUAGGGGUAAAAUCCGUAGAGAUCAAGAGGAAUACUCAUUGCGAAGGCGACCUGCUGGAACAUUACUGACGCUGAUGCACGAAAGCGUGGGGAGCAAACAGGAUUAGAUACCCUGGUAGUCCACGCCCUAAACGAUGGAUGCUAGUUGUUGCCUUGCUUGUCAGGGCAGUAAUGCAGCUAACGCAUUAAGCAUCCCGCCUGGGGAGUACGGUCGCAAGAUUAAAACUCAAAGGAAUAGACGGGGACCCGCACAAGCGGUGGAGCAUGUGGUUUAAUUCGAAGAUACGCGAAGAACCUUACCUAGGCUUGACAUUGAUAGAAUCUACU